UGCCAGGCGGGGCUCUCCAAGGAUGGUGGAGGGCAGUGCCCCGUUCACGCGCCACCAGCGCGCUCCAAGUGUCCUUGCGGAGGCAGAAACAGGAGCUCCACCCCCAGCCUUCUAGGAAAAAAGAGACUCAACUCCUAUUGACCACUCUGGUUGACUGCCAGGUUAUGCUACCUUCAGUGAAGGAAGAGAUGCUGGUCCAUUUACCAAUUUCUUAAGCAGGUACCACCUUCCCACCUGGCUCAGUACAGCUCAGCUCCCAGAACUUUCCUCAACUGCAGACGUGUCAGAACACAUGAUCAUCAUCACAUCAGCAACCAUCCUGGAAGCCCAUUCCUCUCACUGCCUUCCACCAAGGAUGCCUGGACCAGAGAGGUGACAGCAAGCAAGAGAGUCUCAAACCAAACUUCUGAUCAGAUUCUUCCAUCUGAGACACAUGCAUGAGUAUGUACCUGCUCUCAAACGCACUAUAUUUCUGAAUGUCAAACAUUCCAGUUUCAUGCAACCCUGGCUAGCACAGAAGGUAGCAGAUAAGGUUGUUUAUGAGCCUUACAUUAAGUUGUAAUGUGAGUGUGCUUGGCAGAAUCCCAGGGGUCACUCAUUAAACAAACCACAAUUUUGCUUGUUGUGCUGUUUGAAGCUCCCAACAUCAAAUCCUAAGCAUUCCACGACUGUUACUUUUGUUUGUGGCUUUGAAGCUUGAGCUUAAGAAGAUUUUGAGGAAACUAAAUUGAUUAAAAACCAAAUGCAGUAUUGACUGGGAAAAGUUUUUGAGCACAGACUGUUUGUCAGAGGCACUUUUUUCUUUGCUAGUUUUCUUUCUUCCUCCAUUUUUGUGGAUGGAGAUAUAUUUAAAACAUUUUAGGACUGGCAAGACGUUCAGCAUGUCUUAUGGUGCCUGCCAUAAAGCCUGAUCAUCUGAAUUUAAUCAAUCAGAACCCACAUAAUGAAUGGAGAGAGAACCAAUUCUACCUUCAC
Non-coding RNA from Peromyscus maniculatus bairdii (prairie deer mouse), 975 nucleotides. The record is from RefSeq and is a predicted model, not a curated record. Lineage: Eukaryota; Metazoa; Chordata; Mammalia; Rodentia; Cricetidae.